GACUCUCGACAACGGAUAUCUCGGCUCUCGCAUCGAUGAAGAACGUAGUGAAAUGCGAUACUUGGUGUGAAUUGCAGAAUCCC
RNAcentral lists this ribosomal RNA (83 nucleotides) under Cornus florida var. urbiniana. RNAcentral describes it as "partial 5.8S ribosomal RNA". It matches the Rfam family "5.8S ribosomal RNA", at positions 1 to 83 of the family's 154-position model. Rfam says of the family: 5.8S ribosomal RNA (5.8S rRNA) is a component of the large subunit of the eukaryotic ribosome. It is transcribed by RNA polymerase I as part of the 45S precursor that also contains 18S and 28S rRNA. Functionally, it is thought that 5.8S rRNA may be involved in ribosome translocation. The record is from RNAcentral. Lineage: Eukaryota; Viridiplantae; Streptophyta; Magnoliopsida; Cornales; Cornaceae.